AGGGCACCACCAGGAGUGGAGCCUGCGGCUUAAUUUGACUCAACACGGGAAAACUCACCCGGCCCGGACACCGUAAGGAUUGACAGACUGAGAGCUCUUUCUUAAUUCGGUGGGUGGUGGUGCAUGGCCGUUCUUAGUUGGUGGAGCGAUUUGUCUGGUUAAUUCCGAUAACGAACGAGACUCUGGCCUAUUAAAUAGACGGUAUAUCGAAAAGUAUAUCGCACUUCUUAGAGGGACAAGCGGCGUCUAGCCGCAUGAAAUAGAGCAAUAACAGGUCUGUUAUGCCCUUAGAUGUCCGGGGCUGCACGCGCGCUACACUGAAAGAAUCAGAGUGCGCUUUGCCUAGUUCGGAAGAACUGGGUAACCCAAGUAAAUUCUUUCGUGCUUGGGAUAGGGAAUUGCAAUUAUUUCCCUUAAACGAGGAAUUCCCAGUAAAUGCGGGUCAUAAGCUCGCGUUGAUUACGUCCCUGCCCUUUGUACACACCGCCCGUCGCUACUACCGAUUGGAUGACUUAGUGA
Molecule: ribosomal RNA, 519 nt
Filed under: uncultured eukaryote
Lineage: Eukaryota
Description: SSU rRNA
Rfam family: Eukaryotic small subunit ribosomal RNA
Source: RNAcentral